Molecule: ribosomal RNA, 309 nt
Filed under: Pseudolabrus sieboldi
Lineage: Eukaryota; Metazoa; Chordata; Actinopteri; Labriformes; Labridae
Description: partial 16S rRNA
Source: RNAcentral
GGCUUAGCUGUCUCCUUUUUCUAGCCAAUGAAAUUGAUCUUUCCGUGCAGAAGCGGGAAUAACAACAUAAGACGAGAAGACCCUAUGGAGCUUUAGACACUAAGACAGAUCACGUCAAACACCCCAGCUUAAUGGGCCGAACUAAGUGAGCCCUGCCCUAAUGUCUUUGGUUGGGGCGACCCUGGGGAGACAAAUAACCCCCAUGUGGAGUGGAAGCACCAUAUUUCCAGAACUAAGAGCUAACCGCUCUAAGGAACAGAAUUUCUGACCAUUUUAGAUCCGGCUACUGCCGAUCAGCGGACCGAGUUA